CAUCCUGCUUGGACUAGGC
Molecule: non-coding RNA, 19 nt
Filed under: Mus musculus (house mouse)
Lineage: Eukaryota; Metazoa; Chordata; Mammalia; Rodentia; Muridae
Source: RNAcentral